AUGAGCCCAAAGGAGCAUGAUAUAUUGAAGGAGAAAGUGGAGGAAUUGCUGCAAAAGGGGCACAUUCGAGAAAGUAUUAGCCCAUGUGCUGUACCAGCCCUACUCGCGCCAAAGAAAGAUGGAUCUUGGUGCAUGUGCACGGACAGUAGAGCCAUUAACAAGAUCACCGUACGGUAUAGAUUCCCGAUUCCCCGUCUAGUUGAUAUGUUGGAUCAGCUUAGUGGAGCAAGAGUGUUUACAAAGCUAGAUUUAAGAAGCGGAUAUCAUCAAAUCCGUAUCAGACCCGGGGAUGAAUGGAAAACCGCCUUCAAGACAAAGGAAGGGUUGUUUGAAUGGCUAGUCAUGCCAUUUGGACUCUCAAAUGCACCAAGUACCUUUAUGUGCUUAAUGAAUCAAGUCCUCCGACCUUUCUUGUCCCACUUUGUUGUGGUCUAUUUCGAUGACAUCUUGAUCUAUAGCAAGGAUGAGGAUGAACACUUUGAUCACAUUCAGAAGGUGCUAGAAGUACUAAGGGAAAAUGAGCUCUACGUCAACUUGAAGAAAUGUGUUUUCCUGCAAACACAACUUCCUUUCCUAGGAUUCGUCAUAACAUGUGACGGUAUUCGUGUUGAUGAUUCUAAGGUUGAAGCAAUCCGAGAAUGGCCAACUCCGAAGACCAUUUCUGAGGUAAGAAGUUUUCAUGGCCUUGCAACUUUCUAUAGGCGAUUUGUGAAGAAUUUCAGCACUAUCAAGGCACCAAUUACCGAGUGUUUGAGGAAAGGAAAGUUCCAAUGGACAGAAGCAGCUGAAGCUAGUUACAAUGAGAUUAAACAAAAACUAUCACAAGCUCCUGUCUUGGUGCUACCUGAUUUCAACAAGACUUUUGAGUUUGAGAGUGAUGCAAGUGGAGUAGGCAUUAGAGCUGUCCUAUCUCAAGGAAGGAAGCCCAUUGCUUUCUUUAGUGAAAAGUUAAGUGAAGCUAGACAGAAAUGGAGUACCUAUCAGCAAGAAUUAUAUGCCGUUUUCAGAGCGUUGAAAACUUGGGAAGUCUAUUUGCUGCCUAAAGAAUUCAUUGUUUAUAGUGACAAUCAAUCCUUGAAGCAUUUUAGAAAUCAAAAGCAUGUUGACCGCAUGCUAGCGAGAUGGGCAACAUAUCGUGCAUAA
This 1143-nucleotide ribosomal RNA is filed under the name Triticum aestivum (bread wheat). RNAcentral's name for it is "partial small subunit ribosomal RNA". The record is from RNAcentral. Lineage: Eukaryota; Viridiplantae; Streptophyta; Magnoliopsida; Poales; Poaceae.